This 408-nucleotide ribosomal RNA is filed under the name Fusobacteriota bacterium. RNAcentral's name for it is "Fusobacteria bacterium partial 16S ribosomal RNA". It matches the Rfam family "Bacterial small subunit ribosomal RNA", at positions 355 to 776 of the family's 1533-position model. The record is from RNAcentral. Lineage: Bacteria; Fusobacteriati; Fusobacteriota.
UGGGGAAUAUUGCACAAUGGAGGGAACUCUGAUGCAGCAACGCCGCGUGCGGGAUGACGGCCUUCGGGUUGUAAACCGCUUUCAGCCAUGACGAAGCUUUUGUGACGGUAGUGGUAGAAGAAGCACCGGCUAACUACGUGCAGCAGCCGCGGUGAUACGUAGGGUGCGAGCGUUGUCCGGAAUUAUUGGGCGUAAAGAGCUUGUAGGCGGUUUGUCGCGUCGAUAGUGUAAACACGCAGCUUAACUGUGUGCCUGCUGUCGAUACGGGCUGACUAGAGGAGGGUAGGGGAGAAUGGAAUUCCCGGUGGAGCGGUGGAAUGCGCAGAUAUCGAGAGGAACACCAGUGGCGAAGGCGGUUCUCUGGACCUUUCCUGACGCUGAGAAGCGAAAGCGUGGGUAGCAAACAGG